UACGUAGGUGACAAGCGUUGUCCGGAUUUACUGGGCGUAAAGAGCGCGCAGGCGGUCGAUCAAGUCGAGUGUGAAAGCCCCCGGUUCAACUGGGGAGGGUCAUUCGAUACUGAUCGACUCGAAGGCAGGAGAGGGUAGUGGAAUUCCCGGUGUAGUGGUGAAAUGCGUAGAUAUCGGGAGGAACACCAGUGGCGAAGGCGACUACCUGGAGCUUUGCUGACGCUGAUGCGCGAAAGCGUGGGGAGCGAUCCGG
RNAcentral lists this ribosomal RNA (253 nucleotides) under uncultured bacterium. RNAcentral describes it as "partial 16S ribosomal RNA". It matches the Rfam family "Bacterial small subunit ribosomal RNA", at positions 524 to 776 of the family's 1533-position model. The record is from RNAcentral.